This 156-nucleotide ribosomal RNA is filed under the name uncultured bacterium. Its description in RNAcentral is "partial 16S ribosomal RNA". It matches the Rfam family "Bacterial small subunit ribosomal RNA", at positions 1345 to 1500 of the family's 1533-position model. The record is from RNAcentral.
CAGAUCAGCAUGCUGCGGUGAAUACGUUCCCGGGCCUUGUACACACCGCCCGUCACACCAUGGGAGUCGGUAACACCCGAAGCCUGUAGUCUAACCGCAAGGAGGACGCAGUCGAAGGUGGGAUUGAUGACUGGGGUGAAGUCGUAACAAGGUAAC